GACGAACGCUGGCGGCGUGCUUAACACAUGCAAGUCGAGCGAGAAACCCUCUUCGGAGGGGAGUACAGCGGCGAACGGGUGAGUAACACGUGGGCAACCUGCCCCAAGGAGCGGGACAACCCGGGGAAACUCGGGCUAAUACCGCAUGUUCCGUGGUGCCUCAAGGCACCUCGGGAAAUGGUAGCUUCGGCCUCCGCCUUGGGAUGGGCCCGCGGCGCAUUAGCUUGUUGGUGAGGUAACGGCCCACCAAGGCGACGAUGCGUAGCUGGUCUGAGAGGACGAUCAGCCACACUGGGACUGAGACACGGCCCAGACUCCUACGGGUGGCUG
Molecule: ribosomal RNA, 330 nt
Filed under: uncultured Actinomycetes bacterium
Lineage: Bacteria; Bacillati; Actinomycetota; Actinomycetes
Description: bacterial SSU rRNA
Rfam family: Bacterial small subunit ribosomal RNA
Source: RNAcentral